RNAcentral lists this ribosomal RNA (423 nucleotides) under uncultured archaeon. RNAcentral's name for it is "partial 16S ribosomal RNA". It matches the Rfam family "Archaeal small subunit ribosomal RNA", at positions 323 to 746 of the family's 1478-position model. The record is from RNAcentral.
CUACGGGUUGCACCAGGCGCGAAACCUUUACAAUGCACGAAAGUGUGAUAAGGGAACUCUAAGUGCUCAUGUUCUACAUGGGCUUUUGCCAAGAGUAAAAAUCUUGGCGAAUAAGUGGUGGGCAGAGACUGGUGCCAGCAGCCGCGGUAACACCAGCGCCACGAGUGGGGAUCAUAUUUAUUGGGCCUAAAGCGUUCGUAGCUGGUUGCGUGAAUCUUUUGUGAAAUCGUUAGGCUUAACUUAACGGCAUGCAGAAGACACUGCGUAACUUGGGACCAGGAGGAGUUAGCAGUAUGGUAGGGGGAGCGGUAAAAUGCUAUAAUCCCUACUAGACUACCUGUGGCGAAGGCGGCUAACUAGAAUGGAUCCGACAGCGAGGGACGAAGGCCAGGGGAGCGAACCGGAUUAGAUACCCGUGUAGUC